UGGGGAAUUUUGGACAAUGGGGGAAACCCUGAUCCAGCCAUCCCGCGUGUGCGAUGAAGGCCUUCGGGUUGUAAAGCACUUUUGGCAGGAAAGAAACGUCAUGGGUUAAUACCCCGUGAAACUGACGGUACCUGCAGAAUAAGCACCGGCUAACUACGUGCCAGCAGCCGCGGUAAUACGUAGGGUGCAAGCGUUAAUCGGAAUUACUGGGCGUAAAGCGUGCGCAGGCGGUUCGGAAAGAAAGAUGUGAAAUCCCAGAGCUCAACUUUGGAACUGCUUUUUUAACUACCGGGCUAGAGUGUGUCAGAGGGAGGUGGAAUUCCGCGUGUAGCAGUGAAAUGCGUAGAUAUGCGGAGGAACACCGAUGGCGAAGGCAGUCUCCUGGGAUAACACUGACGCUCAUGCACGAAAGCGUGGGGAGCAAACAGG
Molecule: ribosomal RNA, 429 nt
Filed under: Acidobacteriota bacterium
Lineage: Bacteria; Pseudomonadati; Acidobacteriota
Description: Acidobacteria bacterium partial 16S ribosomal RNA
Rfam family: Bacterial small subunit ribosomal RNA
Source: RNAcentral